Molecule: non-coding RNA, 154 nt
Organism: Triticum urartu
Lineage: Eukaryota; Viridiplantae; Streptophyta; Magnoliopsida; Poales; Poaceae
Source: RefSeq, a predicted model, not a curated record
GCGAGAUGCCCCGUAAAUCUACUGUAUGAUCAAUCAAAACACGUUUUGUCCAAAGUCCAAACUUAAUGGUGUGAUAUUGUGGCAUAUUUACCCUGGAGCUAGCAUAUAUAUGGAGCUGACUUUGUUCCUGGAGGAGCAGACACAGAGGAGGAAU